Long non-coding RNA from Cynocephalus volans (Philippine flying lemur), 2111 nucleotides. RefSeq lists it as uncharacterized. The transcript has 3 exons. NCBI's taxonomy places the organism in Eukaryota, Metazoa, Chordata, Mammalia, Dermoptera, Cynocephalidae. The record is from RefSeq and is a predicted model, not a curated record.
CCAACAGCUCCAGCCAAGAAGCCCGGACCUCCUGCAUUGCCAGCAUCAGAAUUUCACUCCUUGGGAUAAAGGAAUUGUCUGGCCUAUCCCUCCACCCUCCUUGCAAAUAGAGCUUUCCCCAGAGGAACGGAAGGCAAGCCCCCACCCUACCUAACCUGCACUUUAUCUUGCUGAAUGAAGUGAACCCUGGUGGGCUGUCUCGGACCAAUCCUCAGCCCCAACAAAAAAUGGCAAAAACGUGAACUCUGAUGGAAUGUGAACAAUCAAAAGACUGUUCCACACACACGGCCGCCCCAGGCCUCACCGCGGGCUGGCCUGUCCCUAGCGCAAGCAGCGCCCCGAGCCGGCUCAGCAUGAUGGCGGCCCGGCCCGGCUCCGGGCGGCGGCGGCGGCGGCGGCGGCGGCGGCGGCGAGGGCGGAGGAGGAGGUGCCCGACGCGAUCAGGAGGCGGGGCCCGGCCCGGCCCGGCCCGGCCCGCUCCGCCCCGUCCCGGCCCGGCGGGGCUGGGGAGUCCCGGGCUCCUGCAAGGAGGGCGCACGCGGAGCCUGGUGCCGGCGAGCGAGGAUGGCCCCUUCGCGCGGGAGCGGAGGCGUUUGGAUGAGGCCUUAGGGUCCCCCCUGAAUUGAAGGUUGGUGGCUCUGCAAGGCUCAGCGCCCCCGCCCCCAACACGGUAGCCCCUCGGGCCACGUGUGGCUGUGGCGCACUUGAAAUGUGCUGUGUCAGUUACACCCCGGAUUUGGAAGACAGGGAAAGAAUGUUAAAAUAGCGCACUAAUCGUGUUUCAUAUUGAUGACAUGUCGCAACAGUAAUAUACGAGUAUUGGGUUUAUUGAGUUAAGUAUAUUGUUAAAAUUAAUUUCGCUUGUUGCUUUUUACUUAAGUGGCUACUAGAAAACGUGAACGAUGUGUGCGGCUGCAUUAUGUUUCUAUCGUGCAGCGCUGCUCUAGAGGUCCCGCCGAGGAACAGAAGGUGGGUCUCCCAUGUAGGGGGCACACCUGAGAAAUUAUGCCUAAGAAUUACGCAGGCACAGCCCUCCACUAGAACAGGCUUCCUGGGAUGUGCAGAGAGGACCUUAGGGACGCCUUCUAGCUGCCACUACCACCUCCAACACCAGGAAUAGAAAGAGUUCCUGAGCACAGGGCUGAUGCCUGUUUCAAAUGCAUUUCUGCUAAUCACUACAUCACAUGAUAAGAUAAGGCAUCAGGGAGUAGCCCCUGUCCCUGAGUUGUAGAAUGUAGAGCUUUGGGGAGCCACCUGCCAUUUGGGGCCAUUCCCCAGGAGGGCUGAGACCCAGGAGACAGUGACCUGUCUGGACCUGACUGUGUGCUAUGGAGCGGAGCCUGCAGUCCAGACUGAGUCAGAGCCAGGAGGCCAAGCCCAAGCUGAAUGAGGAUUUGGAUCUCAGUUUUCUGACAGCUGCUUGGGAAGGAGAUGUUUUCAAAGAGUUAGCUGCAAAUGGGCUCCAGGAGCACUGUGGGAAACGUGAGGAGGCUGUUAGGUUGGCCUCAAGUGUAUAAGAACAAAGAGAAGAAACAAGCCUGUUCUGUGUUGUCAGGAAGCACCUUAAUAAGUUAGGAAACCUGAGUCCAGUCACCGUGAUUUUGCUCACAGGUAAAGUAGGCUGGAUGGAUCGAAUCAGCAUUUCUCCCCUAAACACGUUCCAAGGAAUGCUAGGGAAUAAUGGAAGGCCUCAGGAGUUCAUAACCUUUUGUUUGACUAGAUUUUUAAGUGUUAUUUUAAAAACUCUAAUGAAAGUCAAUGUACAUGCUAUAUGUGUUAUAUGCCAAAAGUGUUAGAGACCCACUGAUGUAUUAAAUUCCACUGGCAGGUUAACUCAUUUGGGGAAGACCUUUGAAUAAAGCCUCUCCUAUCAGCUUAAGUGAAGAGUCAGGCUGUCUCGGCGUUAGCUGUUUAAUGAGCAAGGCGCUAAGCCCAGAUUCAGGGGAGAGGGCCAUACUCCUGCAACUCAGUAGGAAGAAUGUGAAUGAAUUUAUUCACAGGUUUUUAAACCACCACGAUUUUAUAACUACUCAUCCGUGUGAAUCAGAUUUCCUCAAUACUGUGCAACCAAAUACAGUAAUAAAUAAAUACAGCGCUUGAUAGAAGUGCAA